Molecule: long non-coding RNA, 2057 nt
Organism: Lutra lutra (Eurasian river otter)
Lineage: Eukaryota; Metazoa; Chordata; Mammalia; Carnivora; Mustelidae
Exons: 10
Source: RefSeq, a predicted model, not a curated record
CUCCGCGGGAAAAGCGUCCCUGUUAGUUGGACAAGGAGCUGUUUGGCUGAGGCAGUUUCCUCAAGAGUAAAGGCGGGCCUGUGCUAGGGUCACGCCAUCGACCUCCGUUUUCUUUACCCUUCUCUGUCACCAAACGAUAUUCCUGUCCAGUUACAAAGUGCAAGUUUUUUCCCUCAGGGAGUGCUCUUCAGAUCAAUACCUCUGGAAAAUGAGCUUCAGUGCAUUCCCAGCAAAGACUUCAGCCAAUCCCACAGCUGAGGUGGAGUAACAGAGGCCAGACUUAACCUUCCCAGCUGAAACAACUAAAAAAACAAGAAAAAAUACAUGAAAGAAUGGUUCUCCAGCCACUGAACAUCACACAGUGAAAGACCGUGAUUGCUGAGAGAUGAGAAACAAGCAAGCUUACAAUCUGAAGGUGUCCGUUCCUACACUGGUCAGACCACUGUCCUUGGGGCAGCUGGGGUCUUUGGGACCCUCCACCGGGCUCGCCGGUCCGUCGGACUUUUGGCUGAGAUCCGUGUCAGACUCCUCCGAAUAGUCGUCUGUUGGCAUCGAGGGCUGAACCCCUGAGGUGCUGCAUGAACUUGAGAGCGCGCUCUCGCACGCCAGGCAGUGGUACGAGCCGCCGCCACUACCGCCGCUGCCGCCGCCGCCGCCGCCGCCGCCACUGCCGCCGCCGCCCGUGGGGACGUGAAGCACCAUCUCUUGCAGGUUCACCACAGACUGGCCGAAGAAGCAGAGGGACUUCAGGUGGCUCCUCGCCGCCUCCUCGUCACCGAAGCCCGCCUGGCACUUGCGGCAGACCAACUUGUAAGAAGCCCAGGAGUAAGGAUCCAUUUAUGAGAGCUUCUUCUCGAUAGCAGUUCUGCCAGAACAGCUCUCUAAAAAAAAUACAGGCGGGGACCACAGAGGAACAGUCAUCAUUGUCCAGCUUAGUUUGGUCAAAGUUCAGAUUAACUGAGGACAUGGAGGGGCUUUCAAAGUCUUCAAUCCCUUCCACCUUGAUGGAAGAAGGACUAAGAAGAGUUCGGGGAGACAACUCCAUGGUUUUACUCACAGGGCUUGCACUGGCCUUUUCCUCCAGCUUCCUCUUCAGAGUGUUCAUUGUGGAGGUUGGAGUCGAAGGAGACGUGGCCGAGCUGGCUGGAAUCUGAGGACCCGGAGCUGGUCGUCGGUGAUCCUGGUGCGAGGCCUCUUGUUCUGCUGUUGGAGCAGGCUGGGAUUGAGCUGAUGCUGGUACAGCUGAGCCAGGUCCGCAGGCAGAGGCUCCACAGGUCCAAGCUGAGGGGGCAGCUGAGCCGGCAAGGUCUGCAGUGGCAUCGUCUGCAUCAUCAGUGGUGAGAAGAUGGGCAGCUCCAUGGGCAUGGAGAGUUGGCAUAGGAAGCCGGAAUCUUCUCUCACAGAGCCUGGGUCAGCAGAAGAGGGCUUCAGAUCUCCACUGUGCUCUGCGCUUACAGAGGGCAAGAUGUUCUUUCCCAGAUCCUCUGAGGUUUCUGUAAUUAAAAAAGAAAAAGAAAAAAAAAGAAAAAAAAAGCCAAGCCCAGUGAUAAAGAAGGCUUUGUUUCAAGGAUGGCACCCACAGCUAUCUACCUAGCGAGUCCUUGUGAACACUGAAUCUUAUAGUAAGGGAAAUACCCAAUUGGAACACAGAGUCUUUCCACACAGCCCCUGAAAAGAGUAUAUACUAUAAGCAAGUGCACAUGAACAGAGGGGACUAAAAGGAAAUAAAGUUGCAUGCAUAAUAGGUCUGUAUCCUAUCUUGGAUCUGUUUUUACAUGCCAUUCAGUUGCUUGACUCGGAAUCUUGAGUUUCUCAAGAACUGGUUUGAAGGUUACUGGUCUUAGACUGGAUUCCCCUUUUGCGUGGACCUGAACUAAAAAAUAUGUGAAUUAAUGCUAUCCUAAAUUGUGUUUUAAAUUAAUUAAGAUAACUGUUGUCCAUUGCAAUAUAAGAAAUUUUGGAAUAUGUUUUUUAGCAUAAUUUGUUAAAACUUUUGACUGACCUCUCUGUUCCAUAAGAAAUGAACAUUCAACUGGCCAUUAAAUUAUAUAAAAAUU